GGAGAGCUGUCCGAGUGGUCGAAGGAGCACGAUUGGAAAUCGUGUAUACGUUAAUCGCGUAUCGAGAGUUCGAAUCUCUCGCUCUCCG
This 88-nucleotide transfer RNA is filed under the name Paenibacillus pasadenensis. RNAcentral's name for it is "tRNA-Ser". It matches the Rfam family "tRNA". From Rfam's summary of the family: Transfer RNA (tRNA) molecules are approximately 80 nucleotides in length. Their secondary structure includes four short double-helical elements and three loops (D, anti-codon, and T loops). Further hydrogen bonds mediate the characteristic L-shaped molecular structure. tRNAs have two regions of fundamental functional importance: the anti-codon, which is responsible for specific mRNA codon recognition, and the 3' end, to which the tRNAs corresponding amino acid is attached (by aminoacyl-tRNA synthetases). tRNAs cope with the degeneracy of the genetic code in two manners: having more than one tRNA (with a specific anti-codon) for a particular amino acid; and 'wobble' base-pairing, i.e. permitting non-standard base-pairing at the 3rd anti-codon position. RNAcentral also lists the same sequence under 2 other names. Lineage: Bacteria; Bacillati; Bacillota; Bacilli; Caryophanales; Paenibacillaceae. The record is from RNAcentral.